This is a long non-coding RNA of Columba livia (rock pigeon), 631 nucleotides long. RefSeq lists it as uncharacterized. The transcript has 2 exons. Lineage: Eukaryota; Metazoa; Chordata; Aves; Columbiformes; Columbidae. The record is from RefSeq and is a predicted model, not a curated record.
AUCGCUGUGUGACAAUAGCCACCUCACACCAUAUGGCAAUAUUUAGAACCAGGAAAACCCCAGUUUCCUCACCAGAACACUGCUUUUCUGGUUCUAUGGUGUGAGCACAAGUUACAGGGACAUUUUUUUUCCCAGAGGUGCGUUCCUAGUCUAAUAAUAACAAUAAAUUAAGCUCAGUUCUUUAUCACAGCCUUAGUAAGCAAGAGCUGAUCCUGCCUUCCUUGUAGCUGAUGGUAUUUUCCCAGGUUUUGGCAAGAGGAAGCUCUGCCCCUAAUGGAAGAAAAGUGUCCUAUGACAGAGAUGGAGGACAGAGAGCCAGCACAUGCACUCUCAUCUCCUCAGCUCUGCCACCUGUUGCUGUGGGACGUGGGUUGCUCACAGAGUACUGUCUGGAAUGACAACCCUACACGGACGUCGCCAUCUGUGACCUGAACUCCCCAGUGUUUCUGAGCCAUCUCCUGUGCGACCAUCCCGGCUGGGCUGAGCGCUCCCACACGCACCGCCCGGGGAAAGCAGCAUGAAACCCCUGGGAAGCAGCCCGGCCCCUCCUGCACAUUCUCUCCAGCUCCCAGGGGCGGGGGAAAGGGAUGAACUGUCAAGAAGCAACAAACACGGCGUAGCCCUUCUCGAA